CUCUACUGCCAUACAACUUUGAACGUGCCUGAUGUUGGAAGCUAAGCAGGGUCUGGCCUGGUUAGACUUGGUAUGGGAGACCACAUGGCAUAUCAGGUGCUGUAGAGU
RNAcentral lists this ribosomal RNA (108 nucleotides) under Aotus nancymaae (Ma's night monkey). Lineage: Eukaryota; Metazoa; Chordata; Mammalia; Primates; Aotidae. The record is from RNAcentral.